UACAGAAGGGGCAAGCGUUGUUCGGAAUCAUUGGGCGUAAAGGGCGCGUAGGUGGUUCUGUAUGUCUACCGUGAAAGCGUACGGCUCAACCGUAUUUUGUCGGUGGAAACUGCAGGACUUGAGGCUGGGAGGGGCUGGUGGAAUUCCCUGUGUAGCGGUGAAAUGCGUAGAGAUGGGGGAGAACACUCGUGGCGAAGGCGGCCAGCUAGACCAGUUCUGACACUGAGGCGCGACAGCGUGGGGAGCAAACAGG
This 253-nucleotide ribosomal RNA is filed under the name uncultured bacterium. RNAcentral's name for it is "partial 16S ribosomal RNA". It matches the Rfam family "Bacterial small subunit ribosomal RNA", at positions 524 to 776 of the family's 1533-position model. The record is from RNAcentral.